Molecule: long non-coding RNA, 591 nt
Filed under: Cucumis sativus (cucumber)
Lineage: Eukaryota; Viridiplantae; Streptophyta; Magnoliopsida; Cucurbitales; Cucurbitaceae
Description: long non-coding RNA (CSAT_LNC001763)
Source: RNAcentral
AAGUAACCUUUUGUCAAAGCCGGACGCUCGUACGGUGCAAACGCCUGAAAUGCAAUAGAAUCAGUCCCAAAAAGAUAAGAAAUAGGUAAAACAAAACAAUCGAAUUGAAUACCUUCAUCAUCUAAAUUAUAGAAUCUACACUAACACGAAGUUAUAAAACUAAAUCACCUCCUUAGAUACUAUACAAAGCCGUCCAUCCGCCAUCCCGUGUUCAACGAAAGUACGAGCAGCAUAACCAGCAGCAUUUCCGCCACCAACAAUCACAAACCUAAAAAGACAGAAUCCACAAGAUUAAUCAUCCACUCUCAAAAUCUAGAAGAAACAAAACGAAAAAAAAAAAAAAACGAACUCUCUAUUGUCGUUGGCGAAAUCCGAGGAGGCAGAAACGUAGCUUCUCCGGAAACCUCUGAAGGCAACAGAAGAAGGCUGUUGAUGAUGUAAGGAAAAGGAAGUAGAGUGCGGGCACCAGAGAGAGAGGCUGUGCUUCAGGGAGAGAGAGUUCGAUGCAGCCGCCAUGAUGAAUCUACGAGCUGCAAAAGCGAUCGGCGAUGAAAGAUGAAUGAUAAAAAAAAAAAUUGAAGAGGGAUUGAG